GGGAACUGGUCACCUCAGCAGCUGAACUCCUCCUCCAGCCCUGCGGCUCCCUCCUCUCCAACAGGGACCCUCCUGAUUUUCAUCCACUUGGCUCCCCAAGUUGCUGCUCGACCGCUCUCUGACCUGGAUUCACUGAGGACACAUCAGGGCCUUUGCCACGGGGUCCAUGGAGUGGCCGGAGCCCGGGGCUGGGUGAGUGUGGGGUGGGUCUGAAGGGGAGGAUGUGCAUCUAGAGACCAGGCCAGCCCCUGCAGGAUUUUCUGAUGUCAAAUCGCCUGUCCUGUGCCUGAGCCCCAUCGCCUUAGCAGAAUGAGGACACGCGCCUCCCCUGGGCUUCCCCAGCGUGGCCUGAGUGAGUGUCUCCCCAGCUGCAGUGUUUGCAAUCAGCAGGUCAAGAGGGGACCCUCCUGCCCGGCUCCCAUGGCGCUGCUGCUCCUUCUA
This 441-nucleotide long non-coding RNA is filed under the name Pan troglodytes (chimpanzee). RNAcentral's name for it is "long non-coding RNA NONPTRT013841". The record is from RNAcentral. Lineage: Eukaryota; Metazoa; Chordata; Mammalia; Primates; Hominidae.